This 74-nucleotide transfer RNA is filed under the name Caudoviricetes sp. RNAcentral's name for it is "tRNA-OTHER". It matches the Rfam family "tRNA". From Rfam's summary of the family: Transfer RNA (tRNA) molecules are approximately 80 nucleotides in length. Their secondary structure includes four short double-helical elements and three loops (D, anti-codon, and T loops). Lineage: Duplodnaviria; Heunggongvirae; Uroviricota; Caudoviricetes. The record is from RNAcentral.
UGAGGAAUAGCAUAACGGAAGUGCAUCGAACUCUAAAUUCGUAAGGUGCCUGUUCGAAUCAGGCUUCCUCUGCC